This 772-nucleotide long non-coding RNA is filed under the name Equus caballus (horse). RNAcentral describes it as "lncRNA (ENSECAG00000051495.1)". The record is from RNAcentral. Lineage: Eukaryota; Metazoa; Chordata; Mammalia; Perissodactyla; Equidae.
GAUUGGUGAUGGGGUGGACACGGGACCGAAGCUGAGCCAAUCAAAGUCCUUCCCUUUGAAACAGGACUGGAUAGAGGAAAACUUACUGGCAUCAUCACAAAACGGAAAGACGGCAGUAGGAUGGGCGUGUACAUUGCAAGGCCCUGGAGUGCAGUGUGGCUCAGAUCUGGUCCCCAGGCUGCCUGGCUGCGUGUGCUCGUGCAGGCAUAGAAUUACGUCACGGGUACUCCACAGACCAAGGACGACAACAGGUUAAGGAGAGAGUUGACGAGAAGGAAGAAGGGAAGGAGAGUAACGUUGACAGGUAAAGUGAAGAAACCUGGCAACCCGACUUCAGCCGGCUGGUGGAGGUCGACACCAGCAGUGAUGCGUGGUGGUGAUGGUGUGGACCCUGAUGUGACGUGAUGGGAAGGGUGCGUCACCUCAGUGCCCUUCCUCCCCGAAACCCAGAAUCCCAGCCUAUUUGUGAGAAUAGCGCGAGAUAAGUCCCAAGCGAGGGACGUCCUACAGAAUACAUGAUCAGUGCUCCUCAAACCUGCCAAGGUCAUCAAAAUCAAAGAACGUCUGAGAAACUGUCACAGCCAGGAGGAGCCUAGGGACGCAGGAUGACUAAAUGUCAUGUAGUGUCCUGAGUGGGAUCCCGGACCAGAAAAAGGACAUUAGGGAAAAAACUAAGCAAAUUUGUAUAAAGUACAGACUUCAGGUAAUAAUGAUGAAUCAAUAGUGGUUUAUUAAUUAUAACAAAUAUAUGAUACUAAUAUGUUAAUAGGGG